UACGUAGGGUGCGAGCGUUAAUCGGAAUUACUGGGCGUAAAGCGUGCGCAGGCGGUCUGUUAAGACCGAUGUGAAAUCCCCGGGCUUAACCUGGGAACUGCAUUGGUGACUGGCAGGCUUUGAGUGUGGCAGAGGGAGGUAGAAUUCCAGGUGUAGCGGUGAAAUGCGUAGAUAUCUGGAGGAGUACCGGUGGCGAAGGCGGCAUCCUGGACCGAAACUGACGCUGAGGCGCGAAAGCUAGGGGAGCAAACGGG
Molecule: ribosomal RNA, 254 nt
Filed under: uncultured bacterium
Lineage: Bacteria
Description: partial 16S ribosomal RNA
Rfam family: Bacterial small subunit ribosomal RNA
Source: RNAcentral